UGUCAAACCUGUUUUGCCAUAUGGCAUCUGACAUAGUCCCGGUGAGAGGGGUUUGUGAGAAAUGUCAUACCUUAACUCGUGGUAUCAGAAAGCAGGUGUCGGUACCAGAUGAAUCAGCGUCCAUAACGAGUCUUAUGUCUUUACUGGUUGUUAACUGAACAGACAAGCAAAGGAUGGAGAUACUGGUGACUAAUUACGGUUGUUUGAUAACCCGAGUCCCGCUUGAUUGAAAUACUAUUCCUACCAAGAGGACUUGCAAAGAGAUAUCAGUAGCAAGAAAUCACGAAAAGUUCAGUGGAUUAGAAGAGUUGGAUGUGCUUUAUCUACAGGGAUCUAAACUGCCUGCUAAAAAACACCGAUAGCAGCGAGUGUACUAUUUAACUACAGAUUGUCUGUUUUGUGUGCUAUGAACCAUAUUGUCCGCCAGUUACCAGACAUGACGACAUUUUGCAGAUUAUUUGGAAUUGUUUAUAUGAUAAACCUCCGAAACUUAUAUUGACUGUGGCCUCACUGGUAGUCGUCCUCGAGGAGGGAAAAUUGGCUUGCUUAACUGUCCUUCGAAACAACGGUCACAAACCAACCUUUCAUGUUUUCUUCAGAUUGUUUAUUUUGCAAAUAUUUCACGGUCAAUAUAUAAUAUUCAAAUGCAUUUUUGUAUACUUAUUAGUUGUCAUAAAGGUAUACUAUAUAUAUACAUUUAUAUAUAAUACAUACUAGUCAUCUAUUCGCGCCGGUUCAGUGAAAACUCGAGACUACUCUGCACUUGCCUUUGAACACAGGUUUCCGGAGACUCCGGUUUUUCCUGGGCGGCGGUUUUAGUCGAUGACAGUGUACAGAGAUAAUUAAGACUAGGUAACUCACAAAGGGAGUUACACCCCUGUCUGAUUAAGACGAUGUAGGCUGUAUAACCUCAGAAAUGUGUUAUCAGAUUUGCAUUUCAUAUUAAACCUCAGAAAUGUGUUGUUACAUGCUGAAUGCAAUUAACAUAGUUUAUAGAAUAAAUUGGACACGUCAGUGAAUGCAGCUGAUAUA
Molecule: long non-coding RNA, 1032 nt
Filed under: Mizuhopecten yessoensis (Yesso scallop)
Lineage: Eukaryota; Metazoa; Mollusca; Bivalvia; Pectinida; Pectinidae
Description: uncharacterized LOC110441195, transcript variant X2
Source: RNAcentral